This 1442-nucleotide ribosomal RNA is filed under the name Enterobacter kobei. Its description in RNAcentral is "bacterial SSU rRNA". It matches the Rfam family "Bacterial small subunit ribosomal RNA". Lineage: Bacteria; Pseudomonadati; Pseudomonadota; Gammaproteobacteria; Enterobacterales; Enterobacteriaceae. The record is from RNAcentral.
UGACGAGUGGCGGACGGGUGAGUAAUGUCUGGGAAACUGCCUGAUGGAGGGGGAUAACUACUGGAAACGGUAGCUAAUACCGCAUAACGUCGCAAGACCAAAGAGGGGGACCUUCGGGCCUCUUGCCAUCAGAUGUGCCCAGAUGGGAUUAGCUAGUAGGUGGGGUAACGGCUCACCUAGGCGACGAUCCCUAGCUGGUCUGAGAGGAUGACCAGCCACACUGGAACUGAGACACGGUCCAGACUCCUACGGGAGGCAGCAGUGGGGAAUAUUGCACAAUGGGCGCAAGCCUGAUGCAGCCAUGCCGCGUGUAUGAAGAAGGCCUUCGGGUUGUAAAGUACUUUCAGCGGGGAGGAAGGUGUUGUGGUUAAUAACCACAGCAAUUGACGUUACCCGCAGAAGAAGCACCGGCUAACUCCGUGCCAGCAGCCGCGGUAAUACGGAGGGUGCAAGCGUUAAUCGGAAUUACUGGGCGUAAAGCGCACGCAGGCGGUCUGUCAAGUCGGAUGUGAAAUCCCCGGGCUCAACCUGGGAACUGCAUUCGAAACUGGCAGGCUAGAGUCUUGUAGAGGGGGGUAGAAUUCCAGGUGUAGCGGUGAAAUGCGUAGAGAUCUGGAGGAAUACCGGUGGCGAAGGCGGCCCCCUGGACAAAGACUGACGCUCAGGUGCGAAAGCGUGGGGAGCAAACAGGAUUAGAUACCCUGGUAGUCCACGCCGUAAACGAUGUCGACUUGGAGGUUGUGCCCUUGAGGCGUGGCUUCCGGAGCUAACGCGUUAAGUCGACCGCCUGGGGAGUACGGCCGCAAGGUUAAAACUCAAAUGAAUUGACGGGGGCCCGCACAAGCGGUGGAGCAUGUGGUUUAAUUCGAUGCAACGCGAAGAACCUUACCUACUCUUGACAUCCAGAGAACUUUCCAGAGAUGGAUUGGUGCCUUCGGGAACUCUGAGACAGGUGCUGCAUGGCUGUCGUCAGCUCGUGUUGUGAAAUGUUGGGUUAAGUCCCGCAACGAGCGCAACCCUUAUCCUUUGUUGCCAGCGGUCCGGCCGGGAACUCAAAGGAGACUGCCAGUGAUAAACUGGAGGAAGGUGGGGAUGACGUCAAGUCAUCAUGGCCCUUACGAGUAGGGCUACACACGUGCUACAAUGGCGCAUACAAAGAGAAGCGACCUCGCGAGAGCAAGCGGACCUCAUAAAGUGCGUCGUAGUCCGGAUUGGAGUCUGCAACUCGACUCCAUGAAGUCGGAAUCGCUAGUAAUCGUAGAUCAGAAUGCUACGGUGAAUACGUUCCCGGGCCUUGUACACACCGCCCGUCACACCAUGGGAGUGGGUUGCAAAAGAAGUAGGUAGCUUAACCUUCGGGAGGGCGCUUACCACUUUGUGAUUCAUGACUGGGGUGAAGUCGUAACAAGGUAACCGUAGGGGAACCUGCGGUUGGAUCACCU